Molecule: ribosomal RNA, 1343 nt
Filed under: uncultured bacterium
Lineage: Bacteria
Description: 16S ribosomal RNA
Rfam family: Bacterial small subunit ribosomal RNA
Source: RNAcentral
GACGAACGCUGGCGGCGUGCUUAACACAUGCAAGUCGAACGGAAAGGCCCUGCUUUUGUGGGGUGCUCGAGUGGCGAACGGGUGAGUAACACGUGAGUAACCUGCCCUUGACUUUGGGAUAACUUCAGGAAACUGGGGCUAAUACCGGAUAGGAGCUCCUGCUGCAUGGUGGGGGUUGGAAAGUUUCGGCGGUUGGGGAUGGACUCGCGGCUUAUCAGCUUGUUGGUGGGGUAGUGGCUUACCAAGGCUUUGACGGGUAGCCGGCCUGAGAGGGUGACCGGCCACAUUGGGACUGAGAUACGGCCCAGACUCCUACGGGAGGCAGCGGUGGGGAAUAUUGCACAAUGGGCGGAAGCCUGAUGCAGCAACGCCGCGUGCGGGAUGACGGCCUUCGGGUUGUAAACCGCUUUCGCCUGUGACGAAGCGUGAGUGACGGUAAUGGGUAAAGAAGCACCGGCUAACUACGUGCCAGCAGCCGCGGUGAUACGUAGGGUGCGAGCGUUGUCCGGGUUUAUUGGGCGUAAAGGGCUCGUAGGUGGUUGAUCGCGUCGGAAGUGUAAUCUUGGGGCUUAACCCUGAGCGUGCUUUCGAUACGGGUUGACUUGAGGAAGGUAGGGGAGAAUGGAAUUCCUGGUGGAGCGGUGGAAUGCGCAGAUAUCAGGAGGAACACCAGUGGCGAAGGCGGUUCUCUGGGCCUUUCCUGACGCUGAGGAGCGAAAGCGUGGGGAGCGAACAGGCUUAGAUACCCUGGUAGUCCACGCUGUAAACGGUGGGUACUAGGUGUGGGGUCCAUUCCACGGGUUCCGUGCCGUAGCUAACGCUUUAAGUACCCCGCCUGGGGAGUACGGCCGCAAGGCUAAAACUCAAAGGAAUUGACGGGGCCCCGCACAAGCGGCGGAGCAUGCGGAUUAAUUCGAUGCAACGCGUAGAACCUUACCUGGGUUUGACAUGGAUCGGGAGUGCUCAGAGAUGGGUGUGCCUCUUUUGGGGUCGGUUCACAGGUGGUGCAUGGCUGUCGUCAGCUCGUGUCGUGAGAUGUUGGGUUAAGUCCCGCAACGAGCGCAACCCUUGUUCACUGUUGCCAGCACGUUAUGGUGGGGACUCAGUGGAGACCGCCGGGGUCAACUCGGAGGAAGGUGGGGAUGACGUCAAGUCAUCAUGCCCCUUAUGUCCAGGGCUUCACGCAUGCUACAAUGGCUGGUACAGAGAGUGGCGAGCCUGUGAGGGUGAGCGAAUCUCGGAAAGCCGGUCUCAGUUCGGAUUGGGGCCUGCAACUCGACCUCAUGAAGUCGGAGUCGCUAGUAAUCGCAGAUCAGCAACGCUGCGGUGAAUACGUUCCCGGG